This 253-nucleotide ribosomal RNA is filed under the name uncultured bacterium. RNAcentral's name for it is "partial 16S ribosomal RNA". It matches the Rfam family "Bacterial small subunit ribosomal RNA", at positions 524 to 776 of the family's 1533-position model. The record is from RNAcentral.
UACGUAGGUGGCAAGCGUUGUCCGGAUUUACUGGGCGUAAAGGAUGCGUAGGCGGACAUUUAAGUCAGAUGUGAAAUACCCGAGCUUAACUUGGGUGCUGCAUUUGAAACUGGGUGUCUAGAGUGCAGGAGAGGUAAGUGGAAUUCCUAGUGUAGCGGUGAAAUGCGUAGAGAUUAGGAAGAACACCAGUGGCGAAGGCGACUUACUGGACUGUAACUGACGCUGAGGCAUUUAAGCGUGGGGAGCAAACAGG